AGGUGCGCUUGUUCGCUGAGGCUCCUUCGCGGAAACAGGCCAGCGACCCCGAACGUCGAGAGACGCCAAGGGUCAGGACAGAUUCAUUCGGAUCAAGGGUGAGUCCCGAUUGGCUCCCGUCGUCGUACGGGUGACGCCGCGAAGUGCCAAAGGUCUGACGAGGAGACGUAGGA
RNAcentral lists this small RNA (173 nucleotides) under Gordonia polyisoprenivorans. RNAcentral describes it as "Magnesium sequence". It matches the Rfam family "M-box riboswitch aptamer (ykoK leader)". From Rfam's summary of the family: M-box riboswitch, also know as ykoK leader is described as a metaloregulatory RNA that sense divalent metals and function as a genetic control element of genes related to divalent metal transport in bacteria. It was first reported upstream of the B.subtilis ykoK gene and genes with related functions in other bacteria. Phylogenetic analysis of the distribution of M-box RNAs across bacterial genomes revealed that M-box riboswitches are most often employed for the regulation of Mg2+ transporter genes RNAcentral also lists the same sequence under 1 other name. Lineage: Bacteria; Bacillati; Actinomycetota; Actinomycetes; Mycobacteriales; Gordoniaceae. The record is from RNAcentral.